This 121-nucleotide ribosomal RNA is filed under the name Pteropus vampyrus (large flying fox). The record is from RNAcentral. Lineage: Eukaryota; Metazoa; Chordata; Mammalia; Chiroptera; Pteropodidae.
GGCUACAGCCAUGCCACCCUGAACACACUUCCAAUCUCAUCUGAUCUCGGAAGCUAAGCAGGGUCGAGCCUGGUUAGUACUUAGAUGGGAGACCACCUAGGAAGACCAGGUGCUGUAGAAG